RNAcentral lists this ribosomal RNA (253 nucleotides) under uncultured bacterium. Its description in RNAcentral is "partial 16S ribosomal RNA". It matches the Rfam family "Bacterial small subunit ribosomal RNA", at positions 524 to 776 of the family's 1533-position model. The record is from RNAcentral.
UACGGAGGGUGCAAGCGUUAUCCGGAUUCACUGGGUUUAAAGGGUGCGUAGGCGGCCUGAUAAGUCAGUGGUGAAAGCUCUCAGCUUAACUGGGAAACUGCCAUUGAAACUGUCAGGCUUGAGUACAAUUGAAGUGGGCGGAAUACAUCAUGUAGCGGUGAAAUGCUUAGAUAUGAUGUAGAACACCGAUCGCGAAGGCAGCUCACUAAAUUGCAACUGACGCUGAGGCACGAAAGCGUGGGGAGCAAACAGG